GCCCUUGUAGUGUAGUGCUAGCACGCGUCUCCGGUGAGGACAAGACGCGGGUUCAAUUCCCUCUUGAGGUCG
Molecule: non-coding RNA, 72 nt
Organism: Parelaphostrongylus tenuis
Lineage: Eukaryota; Metazoa; Nematoda; Chromadorea; Rhabditida; Metastrongylidae
Source: the annotation of a GenBank genome assembly